RNAcentral lists this ribosomal RNA (468 nucleotides) under uncultured bacterium. RNAcentral's name for it is "partial 16S ribosomal RNA". It matches the Rfam family "Bacterial small subunit ribosomal RNA", at positions 28 to 507 of the family's 1533-position model. The record is from RNAcentral.
GACGAACGCUGGCGGCGUGCUUAACACAUGCAAGUCGAACGGAAAGGCCCUGCUUUUGUGGGGUGCUCGAGUGGCGAACGGGUGAGUAACACGUGAGUAACCUGCCCUUGACUUUGGGAUAACUUCAGGAAACUGGGGCUAAUACCGGAUAGGAGCUCCUGCUGCAUGGUGGGGGUUGGAAAGUUUCGGCGGUUGGGGAUGGACUCGCGGCUUAUCAGCUUGUUGGUGGGGUAGUGGCUUACCAAGGCUUUGACGGGUAGCCGGCCUGAGAGGGUGACCGGCCACAUUGGGACUGAGGUACGGCCCAGACUCCAACGGGAGGCAGAAGUGGGGAAUAUUGCACAAUGGGCGGAAGCCUGAUGCAGCAACGCCGCGUGCGGGAUGACGGCCUUCGGGUUGUAAACCGCUUUCGCCUGUGACGAAGCGUGAGUGACGGUAAUGGGUAAAGAAGCACCGGCUAACUACGUG